RNAcentral lists this ribosomal RNA (466 nucleotides) under uncultured bacterium. RNAcentral's name for it is "partial 16S ribosomal RNA". It matches the Rfam family "Bacterial small subunit ribosomal RNA", at positions 28 to 507 of the family's 1533-position model. The record is from RNAcentral.
GAUGAACGCUGGCGGCGUGCUUAACACAUGCAAGUCGAACGAUGAAGCCCAGCUUGCUGGGUGGAUUAGUGGCGAACGGGUGAGUAACACGUGAGUAACCUGCCCUUAACUCUGGGAUAAGCCUGGGAAACUGGGUCUAAUACCGGAUAGGAGCGUCCACCGCAUGGUGGGUGUUGGAAAGAUUUAUCGGUUUUGGAUGGACUCGCGGCCUAUCAGCUUGUUGGUGAGGUAAUGGCUCACCAAGGCGACGACGGGUAGCCGGCCUGAGAGGGUGACCGGCCACACUGGGACUGAGACACGGCCCAGACUCCUACGGGAGGCAGCAGUGGGGAAUAUUGCACAAUGGGCGCAAGCCUGAUGCAGCGACGCCGCGUGAGGGAUGACGGCCUUCGGGUUGUAAACCUCUUUCAGUAGAGAAGAAGCGAAAGUGACGGUACCUGCAGAAGAAGCACCGGCUAACUACGUG